GUCCAACAGAUGAGCCCCAAACGGGACGAAACGUGCGUCCUGGAU
This 45-nucleotide non-coding RNA is filed under the name Schistosoma mattheei. Lineage: Eukaryota; Metazoa; Platyhelminthes; Trematoda; Strigeidida; Schistosomatidae. The record is from RNAcentral.